CCUACGGGUGGCAGCAGUGGGGAAUAUUGCACAAUGGGCGAAAGCCUGAUGCAGCAACGCCGCGUGAAGGAAGAAGGGUUUCGGCUCGUAAACUUCUAUCAACAGGGACGUAAGAAAUGACGGUACCUGAAUAAGAAGCCUCGGCUAACUACGUGCCAGCAGCCGCGGUAAUACGGAGGGGGCAAGCGUUAUCCGGAAUUACUGGGUGUAAAGGGUGAGUAGGUGGCAUGGUAAGCCAGAUGUGAAAGCCGUGGGCUUAACCCCGGAACUGCUCUUGGAACUGCGUGGCUGGAGUGCAGGGGGGGCAGGCGGAAUUCGUGGUGUAGCGGUGAAAUGCGUAGAUAUCAGGAAGAACACCGAUGGCGAAGGCGGCCUGCUGGACUGCAACUGACGUUGAGGCCCGAAAGCGUGGGGAGCAAACAGGAUUAGAUACCCCUGUAGUC
This 443-nucleotide ribosomal RNA is filed under the name uncultured bacterium. Its description in RNAcentral is "partial 16S ribosomal RNA". It matches the Rfam family "Bacterial small subunit ribosomal RNA", at positions 338 to 795 of the family's 1533-position model. The record is from RNAcentral.